This 246-nucleotide ribosomal RNA is filed under the name uncultured bacterium. RNAcentral describes it as "partial 16S ribosomal RNA". It matches the Rfam family "Bacterial small subunit ribosomal RNA", at positions 334 to 596 of the family's 1533-position model. The record is from RNAcentral.
UUAACCUACGGGGCGCAGCAGUGGGGAAUAUUGCACAAUGGGGGAAACCCUGAUGCAGCAACGCCGCGUGAGUGAAGAAGUAUUUCGGUAUGUAAAGCUCUAUCAGCAGGGAAGAAGAACGACGGUACCUGACUAAGAAGCCCCGGCUAACUACGUGCCAGCAGCCGCGGUAAUACGUAGGGGGCAAGCGUUAUCCGGAUUUACUGGGUGUAAAGGGAGCGUAGACGGCAGGGCAAGUCUGGAGUG